UACGUAGGUAGCAAGCGUUGUCCGGAAUGACUGGGCGUAAAGGGUGCGUAGGUGGUGGAGCAAGUUGGUAGUGAAAUUCCGAGGCUUAACUUCGGCGCUACUACCAAGACUGCUUGACUUGAGUACAGGAGAGGUAAGUGGAAUUCCUAGUGUAGCGGUGGAAUGCGUAGAUAUUAGGAAGAACACCGGAGGCGAAGGCGACUUACUGGCCUGCAACUGACACUGAGGCACGAAAGCGUGGGGAGCAAAC
This 250-nucleotide ribosomal RNA is filed under the name uncultured prokaryote. Its description in RNAcentral is "partial 16S ribosomal RNA". It matches the Rfam family "Bacterial small subunit ribosomal RNA", at positions 524 to 773 of the family's 1533-position model. The record is from RNAcentral.